This is a long non-coding RNA of Sander lucioperca (pikeperch), 513 nucleotides long. RefSeq lists it as uncharacterized. Lineage: Eukaryota; Metazoa; Chordata; Actinopteri; Perciformes; Percidae. The transcript has 3 exons. The record is from RefSeq and is a predicted model, not a curated record.
CUUACAGACCAGGGGAAGGAGUUUGUAAAUCAGAUCAACACUGAUGUCUGCAAGAUCCUUGGGAUAAAAAGAAGCCUUUGUGCGCCAUAUCAUCCUCAAACCAAUGGUCUUGUUGAGAAAAUGAAUGGUACCAUACAAAGGCUGCUCGACACACCACUGCCACAAGCCACAUCAAAAACCAAAAGACCACAAAAUCAAAUUUCAAGGUGGGUGACAAAGUGUGGCGGUUGAAUGUGAGAAGCCAGCAGCGAAAGGGAGGAAAGUUGGAGCCUGACUUCUUGGGACCUUUCAAAGUCAUAGCUCUACAGGACAAGAGUGCUGAUCUGGAAAGUGAGGGAGGUCGUGUUUUUCCUAAAAUCAAAACCGACCACCUGAAAAUACACACCGACAAAAAGGAAAGAAUACCACAUAAGAUCCUCAACUCCACAGGGGUAACCUCAAGCUCUGCCUCGAUCCCUGCCUCCACUCCCACCCCUGCUUCAUCCUCCACCUCUGCCUCCACAACCAUCCCUA